UGUGGGAUUCAAUCCCAGGAACCCAGGAUCAUGACCUGAGCCAAAGGCAGACGCUCGACCACUGAGCCACCCAGGUGCCUCUCUCUUUCUGUUUUCUAAAGUGCAGUGGAAAGCCCUCAUGUCUGUAGCCACUAACUUUGUUCCUUGGUCUGAAGGCUUUGUCCUAUGCCAAUCUCUGCUUCCUUCAUGGUUUCUCCUAUCUCCAUCAAGACAGUUCCAAACCCCCAGGCAAGGACUCUGCCCCAUUCCCAAGCUCCCAGGCCUGAGGCAUUGUGCAUCAACCUGAAAAAAAACAGCUUAUAUUUGCUGACAGACCAAUGAUCCAUCUUUCUUUCCCCAGUAACACUAUGUGCUUUUUGGCGAGGGUUCAUUUGGAGAUAAUGCCUCGCUUUUCAAAUUCCCAAAGGGGAAUUUUCAAGUAAUAUGAUAAGGCAGCACCAAGGCAACACCAAGGCAGCCCAGUUUGCCCAAUAUCAGGGCCAGAUGAUUCCCUUGCAUCCUAGACUGCCUCACCCUCCUCAGACAGGUAGAGGGGACUUUGCCUUAAUGUACAUACCUACCAAGGUGCUAGGAACAUGACCUUCUGGGAAGAGGAUGCUCCCUCCCUCUCUGCCAGCAUUUCCUGGUGUACCAGGGAAUAUUACCAACCUAUGAUGCUGUUAGCCUAUUGGACAAACACAGAUCCUACUGCACAACGUUCAUGAGGCACCUUUCUCUGAAACACAAAAGAGGCCAAGGUCAGCCUUGGACUAAAUAUGGUUGUUCAUAUAUCCUUUAUAAAAAAAAUAAAAAAUAUAUAUUCUGUA
Long non-coding RNA from Canis lupus familiaris (dog), 806 nucleotides. RefSeq lists it as uncharacterized. The record is from RefSeq and is a predicted model, not a curated record. The transcript is spliced from 2 exons. Lineage: Eukaryota; Metazoa; Chordata; Mammalia; Carnivora; Canidae.